UUGACACUCCUCGACACGCGCCGCAGUGCGCAGAUCUAAGGCGCAGUGUCCGGAGCCGGGACCGGAAGAGCUGCCUCUCGUCCCGGAGACAUGGUGGAGAGCGGUCGUGCUUCCUCCUGCGUCCCGGCUGAACGAUGACCUCUCCGGGAUGAAUCUCCACCAAUGCAGAUGAUAUAGGUUACAAGAUGUGGUGCCUGGAAAGGCACCUGACUGGAUAAUGCGCGUGUCCUGUGCUGAACAGGAGUUGCCUCUGAUUACAUGAAGUGACAGGAUGAACCUGGUGUCGUCCCUUGUGUCCUGUGCUGAUGAGUUGCCUCUGACUACAUGAGAUGACAGGAUGAACCUGGUGUCAUCCUGUGUAUCCUGUGCUGAUGAGUUGCCUCUGUCUAAAUGAGGGGACACGAUGAACAUGGUGUCAUCCCUUGUGUCCUGUGCUGAUGCGUUGCCUCUGACUACAUGAGAUGACAGGAUGAACCUGGUGUCAUCCCUUGUGUCCUGUGCUGAUGAGGUGCUUCAGAUCAUAUGAUAUGUUGGCUGGAGAUGCACCUGAAGUAUAAUCCUGUGCUGAUCAGGAGGGUUACGGAGCCAAUUGACUGAUCACACGUUUAUGGGGAAACCAAAUUUCAAAGUGUACCUGGAACUGAUGGAUCAUAAUUUGGCAGAUUUAUAAAAAAUAUUUUUCUGAAUAAAAAAAAAAUGCCUGGGCUUGA
This is a long non-coding RNA of Platichthys flesus (European flounder), 710 nucleotides long. RefSeq lists it as uncharacterized. The record is from RefSeq and is a predicted model, not a curated record. The transcript has 9 exons. Lineage: Eukaryota; Metazoa; Chordata; Actinopteri; Pleuronectiformes; Pleuronectidae.